CUCUGAUGUACUUUGGUUCGUCAACACAUUCGCCUUGUACACAUUCCCAUGUUUCAUGUUAUCUGUGGUGGAGGGCAAAUUGAGGGGUAUGUGUGAAGGUGUAACAAAAAUUUGAAAUAUGCGUGAGAGUAAGGUAUGAACUAGAUUUUGUAUAAUGUCAGUAAAUAUUAGACCCUUCGACGAUAUUGUGAGAGAACGUUACGAUGAUGAAAAUUAUCCAACUAAGACUUCUGAAGAACAGCAAAAGGUUGAAGAAUCAAUUGAAGACCUUUAUGAUACCUUCUCAAAGAUAGCAGAGUCAGAUGCUGAUGCUCCUUUGUUACUUAGAAGACAACAUGAACAUUUCCUCAGAACUUUAUUGCGCCGUUUACCAAAAGCCUACCAAUGUCUGGAUUCCAGCAGACCAUGGCUCUGUUAUUGGAUUUUGCACUCUCUUGAACUUCUGGAGUUAACUCUAGAGCCAGAUUUUAUCUCUAGUAUUGCACAGUUCCUUGCAAGAUGUCAGUGCCCCGAUGGAGGGUUUGGCGGUGGUCCAGGGCAGUAUGCACAUCUUGCACCCACAUAUGCAGCUGUUAAUGCAUUAUGUACGCUUGGGACAGAAGAAGCGUUCCGUGUCAUUGAUAGAGAGAAACUAAGCCAAUUCUUAUGGGCUGUUAGAUCACCGGAUGGAGGCUUCCACAUGCAUGUUGGAGGAGAAUGUGACAUCAGAGGUGUAUACUGCGCACUUGCCGUUGCAAAAUUGACGAACAUUUAUACAGACUCAUUGUUUGAAAAUUCAGCUGAAUGGAUAGUCAGUUGCCAGACAUAUGAAGGUGGUUUCUCAGGCUGCCCAGACAUGGAGGCGCAUGGAGGCUAUACAUUCUGUGGCUUGGCGGCAUUAACUAUACUUGGAAGAGAAAAUUUGUGCAAUAUGAAGGCACUUAUGCGGUGGGCUGUAAAUCGACAAAUGCGCUUUGAAGGUGGCUUUCAGGGUCGCACCAACAAGCUUGUAGAUAGCUGCUAUUCAUUUUGGCAGUGUGGUAUUUUUCCUAUGAUACACCGAAUACUAACACAAGAGGGUACCAGUACUGUAGACAUGGAGAGGUGGCUUUUCCAUCAGACAGCCUUACAAGAAUAUAUACUCGUUUGUUGCCAGGAUCCUUCUGGGGGUUUUGUUGACAAGCCAUCAAAGUUCUGUACUAUUGCAGACCCCGUGAUGUUUAUCAUACCUGUUACACACUGAGUGGAUUGUCCGUUGCACAGCAUGCAGUUGGGGACCGGUGCUGUAUUGUAGGAAAUCCAAUUUUAAAUGAAAUUGCUCCUGUUCAUCCAGUGUACAAUAUUAGCAAAGAAGCCUAUCUGAAUGCUGCUCUGUAUUUUACAAAUCUACCUACAGUACGAAGAAAACGGUCGUGAGGUUUCCUUUUUCAUAGUAGAAUCCACAAGCAAACUGAAAAGACAUUAGGUGGUACAACAUUGCUUCUUACCUAACACACAAAGUGUAAAUGAUACUGUUUUAUAUGGAAUUCUUUGUAUGGACCCUGAAAAAUGAAAUGGUUUGAAGCAUUGCAAUGAAGGCAUAUCUGUCGUGCAAACACUGCAUCAUCCAUUACAGGAAAAAAAUUACUUAAUUCUUGAAGGACUGGGAUACCAAGAAAAAUCAUACCCUGCUGGCUUAAUUAUGUAUAAUCGUGAUGAACUUUAAACUAUAGUUCCGUCAUUGUGAUUAUGUUGUUCCAGUCUUUUGAGUUUUGGAAGUUUUAUGAUAGACUGUUAUAGGUUACUCCAGAAAGGCAUUGGACUUACCUACAGUUCUCUCCGUAAUACAGUUAAUCAUAAAGUUGGUGAGCCAACACUUCUUCCUACAACCAAGAUAAUGGAAAAGUGUUGCUACAAAUACAGAUGACGCUCAUUCACAUAUUUCCAUCCCAGUCCUGAUACCUCCUCCAUCCCCCAUUCCUGUUCACCUCCCCUCAUUCCGCCUCUUCCGCUCCCCCAUCCCCCUCUCCUGAUGCUUUUCUCUCUAAAAUUGAGUGAAGAGAACAGGCUUGUAAGUUGAAGCAUAACAGUAUUAUUUAUUUGUUUCUCACCAAAGAAUUUGGCAGUGUUUUGUAGUGUUUAUGUUCAUUGAAAUGAGUAGAGAAUUCAUCUGACAGCUGAACAGAAUAACUCAACAAGACACAACAGAGCACAGAUUUUCUUCAGCCCUCUUCCCCCUUCCAAUAUGCUAUGCUUAUGAUUUUUCAAACCUGAAUUCAGCAGGUAAAAAUAUAACAGGAGAGAGAGCUUUAGAUUCACAUAUGAUAUAGUACUGCAGAAUGUUAGUAUCCAGCCUAAAGAUGCAUACACAAGGUAAAAAUAAAAUUCUACCGAGCUCCAGAACCUAUACAGCUUUCAUCAAUUUAUAUGAAACCAUCGCAUGAUUAUAUCUUUUGUAAAAAAAAAAAAAAUUAAAAAAAUAUAUGUAAACAGUUGUACCAGUACUUUCCUUUUACGUGUCACAUACACAUCAGAGCAGAUGGAAUUGUCAUUAUGAUAUGCUUUCAUUGAAAAAGAGAGAAGGGGAGUUUGUUGAAUGUUGUUUUGCUAUGGAUACUUUGCAUAUGUCCUUGUUGAAGAUUGAUUAGUAAUUUGAAUGAGACAGACAUAUUGACCAAUAAUUUUAGUGAUUUUUACAUGUCUGGUAAGUGAUGAAAAAUAAUAAAGUGAACUAUCUCUGUUUUAGUGAUGUCUGUUUACACUUCAUGUGAAUAAAAUUGUGGAAGUUUGGUUGUUAUUUAUGAAAGAUCAAAUUACAUUUUUACGCUCUUAUCUUGGAGAAUGAUACGCUUUUCAAUACUAUUAACUUGUAUAUAAUAAAGAAAUAUGGCUAUUGCCGUUGCAUAAAAGAA
Molecule: RNA transcript, 2870 nt
Organism: Schistocerca serialis cubense
Lineage: Eukaryota; Metazoa; Arthropoda; Insecta; Orthoptera; Acrididae
Gene: Fntb
Gene name: protein farnesyltransferase subunit beta
Exons: 10
Source: RefSeq, a predicted model, not a curated record